AGAGUUUGAUCAUGGCUCAGAACGUACGCUGGCGGCACGCCUAACACAUGCAAGUCGAACGAAGUAGCAAUACUUAGUGGCAGACGGGUGAGUAACAUGUGGGUAUCUGCCCUUUGGCCUGGAAUAACACGAGGAAACUUGUGCUAAUACCGGAUAAGUCUUUACGGAGAAAGCUUUAUGCACCAUUGGAUGAGCCCGCACUUGAUUAGUUUGUUGGUGGGGUAAUGGCCUACCAAGACUAUGAUCAAUAGCUGAUUUGAGAGGAUGAUCAGCCACAUUGGGACUGAGACACGGCCCAAACUCCUACGGGAGGCAGCAGUGGGGAAUCUUGCACAAUGGAGGAAACUCUGAUGCAGCGAUGCCGCGUGAGUGAAGAAGGCCCUUGGGUUGUAAAGCUCUUUCGUCGGGGAAGAAAAUGACUGUACCCGAAUAAGAAGGUCCGGCUAACUUCGUGCCAGCAGCCGCGGUAAUACGAAGGGACCUAGCGUAGUUCGGAAUUACUGGGCUUAAAGAGUUCGUAGGUGGUUGAAAAAGUUAGUGGUGAAAUCCCAGAGCUUAACUCUGGAACUGCCAUUAAAACUUUUCAGCUAGAGUAUGAUAGAGGAAAGUAGAAUUUCUAGUGUAGAGGUGAAAUUCGUAGAUAUUAGAAAGAAUACCAAUUGCGAAGGCAGCUUUCUGGAUCAUUACUGACACUGAGGAACGAAAGCAUGGGUAGCGAAGAGGAUUAGAUACCCUCGUAGUCCAUGCCGUAAACGAUGUGUGUUAGACGUUGGAAAUUUAUUUUCAGUGUCGCAGCGAAAGCGAUAAACACACCGCCUGGGGAGUACGACCGCAAGGUUAAAACUCAAAUGAAUUGACGGGGACCCGCACAAGUAGUGGAGCAUGUGGUUUAAUUCGAAGAUACGCGCAGAACCUUACCAACACUUGACAUGUUCGUCGCGACUCUAAGAGAUUAGAGUUUUCGGUUCGGCCGGACGAAACACAGGUGCUGCAUGGCUGUCGUCAGCUCGUGUCGUGAGAUGUUGGGUUAAGUCCCGCAACGAGCGCAACCCUCACUUUUAGUUGCCAUCAUUAAGUUGGGCACUCUGAAAGAACUGCCAGUGAUAAGCUGGAGGAAGGUGGGGAUGACGUCAAGUCCUCAUGGCCCUUACGUGUUGGGCUACACACGUGCUACAAUGGUAUCUACAACAGGAAGCAAGACUGCGAGGUCAAGCAAAUCCUUAAAAGAUACCUCAGUUCGGAUUGCACUCUGCAACUCGAGUGCAUGAAGCUGGAAUUACUAGUAAUCGUGGAUCAGCGUGCCACGGUGAAUGCGUUCCCGGGUCUUGUACACACCGCCCGUCACACCAUGGGAGUUGGUUCUACCUUAAGGCAAGGUUUCAAACCCUUGACCACGGUAUAGUCAGCGACUGGGGUGAAGUCGUAACAAGGUA
This 1433-nucleotide ribosomal RNA is filed under the name uncultured Alphaproteobacteria bacterium. RNAcentral's name for it is "uncultured alpha proteobacterium 16S ribosomal RNA". It matches the Rfam family "Bacterial small subunit ribosomal RNA". The record is from RNAcentral. Lineage: Bacteria; Pseudomonadati; Pseudomonadota; Alphaproteobacteria.